AUAAACAUCUUUAGUCAUGUAUAAAGGUUAACACGUUCAGACUUUUAGAAAAAUUGUUUUUCAAAGGAACCUUUUGAAAGCUAUAUAUGCAAUAAUCAAAAUGCUAGAGACAAGAGGGCCUCGGCAGGAAACUUUGCUGUGUUACAAAUGACACCCUGUUAAGAGUAUGAAUGCAAGAAGAUGCUUUAAACAAUCAAAGAAAGUUGAAAUUUUUAUCUUGAACCCGAGAAAGCUCGAACUGAAUCCAAAGCUAAAAAAGGAAUGUCUAAUUAAAUUUAACUGCGGGAAAUUUGGCAAACCAAAAUAAAAAAGAACGAAUUUAAGUAGAAGUCUGUUACUAAUAAACAUCUUCUUAAUGAAAUAUUUUCCAUUUUACUAAUUAUACAAAACCACAAUGACAUCAAGACAAAAUUGACAAACCUCAAAAAUGACACUAAGUGGCGCUACAUUUGACGUGUUUGUUAAUGUUUAUACGCCAAGACACUGAAAAAGCAUGUUUCCUACUAAGCAAAAUUAUUUCAAAUAUUUUUCAUAUAAUUUAAUUGUAGGAAAACCUAAAUUUAAGUCGAAAGAGUUAAGAUGAUGGCAGCAUCAACUAUGAUCGAAUUCUUUUUUUCUAAAUUUUACCUUGAAAAUAACAGGCCGACGUCAGAACUGGCCUUUAUCAGCUCAAACGAAUUUUCUUUUUGUUUAAAAUAUAACACAAGCAUAAGAUUAAAUCAACAUUCUGUUUUAAAUCUGCAAGGCCUUGCACCAACCACAGUUUAUCGAGGUAAAUUAAUACCAAGAUUUUACGUUGUUUGGAUCUGAAAGAUCUCAGCAAAUUAUGGAGGAUAAAGAGGGCAUUCGUAUACACACCUGAGUUUAAUCCUAUAACAUUCUCCAUCUUUUAGUCAAUAAAUGACUUGAUAGCAAAACCAAACAAACGAAUAUUAUUUUUGCACUAAAAUGUAGACAAAAAAUAUAAUGCAUAUCUCUUUUUGAGUCUCUAGGGCUAGCCUCGUUAUCAUUAUCUCUUUGGAGCGAAGAUUUGAAUCACGUCAGCAAAUUAAAAAGUGGCCUAAAUAAAGUCUCUUGGAAUCUGUUCUUCUUCUUCGCUGCUUUCUGUUUAGCAAUUGCCUCCAUUGGCAAGGAUGCUUUUGCAAAAUUAAGAGACACUGACGUGGACAUCAGCGGUUGAUUGAAGCUUAGUACAUAAGCUAAAUAUGUUGAAUUCCUUUAACGUUGGAACUUUAUGUAAUAGAUUGUACCAACCUACCUUCUAAAAGGUUUUUGACAGGGUGACCAAUGACAUCUACAGGUUGACCCCAAGCAUACCAUAACAACUUGCCAUCUUAAUGCCAAGAAGGAAACAAACCUGGUUAAUAUUUUACAUGGCAAUCAGAAGAAGGAAAUCUUUGUUUGAUUUAAAGGUAUGAAAUGUCUGUUAUAUCUAUUCUUUAUUAGAUAUGAUAAUUCAUAAAGAGUUUUUUCUACUUUGAAAAAACACUUCAUCAAAAAACACCUGCCUGCCAAAUUUUUAAAAAAAUUCUAUAAAAAUUUAACUGAUCCGAUUUAAGCAAUGCAUAAAUUUUGAGGGAAAGCUGAAUCUUAGAAAAUCAUAAUGCUAGAAUUACUUAUGGUAGAAUCUAAUGCAAAAAACCUGUUUACCUGCAUGAACUAGCCUGUUUACCGACCCUUGGGUAGACAGGCAACAUGGGUAACAUGUCUGAGAACUGUCAAGUGCCUGGUUUUUACAGUUUACUUUUAAUACAUGAUUUUCAUUUCAUACACAUUUCAGAUACAAUUUCAUAGACAAAUACAUUCAUGAACACAUAUCUCAAAUUAAACUUUAUAACUUUAUGAAAUCAUACCUGAAUA
Non-coding RNA from Rhopilema esculentum, 1860 nucleotides. The record is from RefSeq and is a predicted model, not a curated record. Lineage: Eukaryota; Metazoa; Cnidaria; Scyphozoa; Rhizostomeae; Rhizostomatidae.